GGGCCGGUAGCUCAGUGGUAGAGCACGCGGCUUUUAACCGCGGUGCCGUGGGUUCGAUCCCCACCCGGCUCACCA
Molecule: transfer RNA, 75 nt
Filed under: Chloroflexota bacterium
Lineage: Bacteria; Bacillati; Chloroflexota
Description: Chloroflexi bacterium (groundwater metagenome) tRNA-Lys
Rfam family: tRNA
About the family: Transfer RNA (tRNA) molecules are approximately 80 nucleotides in length. Their secondary structure includes four short double-helical elements and three loops (D, anti-codon, and T loops).
Source: RNAcentral